UACAGAGGGUGCGAGCGUUAAUCGGAAUUACUGGGCGUAAAGCGUGCGUAGACGGUUACGUAAGUCGGGUGUGAAAGCUCCGGGCUCAACCUGGGAAUUGCAUUCGAGACUGCGUAGCUAGGGUGCGGAAGAGGGAAGCGGAAUUUCCGGUGUAGCGGUGAAAUGCGUAGAUAUCGGAAGGAACAUCAGUGGCGAAAGCGGCUUCCUGGUCCAGCACCGACGUUCAGGCACGAAAGCGUGGGGAGCAAACAGG
RNAcentral lists this ribosomal RNA (253 nucleotides) under uncultured bacterium. Its description in RNAcentral is "partial 16S ribosomal RNA". It matches the Rfam family "Bacterial small subunit ribosomal RNA", at positions 524 to 776 of the family's 1533-position model. The record is from RNAcentral.